GGAGGGAUGGCAGAGCGGCUGAAUGCACUGGUCUUGAAAACCAGCAAGGGCUAAUACCCUUCCAGGGUUCAAAUCCCUGUCCCUCCACCA
RNAcentral lists this transfer RNA (90 nucleotides) under Candidatus Thioglobus autotrophicus. RNAcentral describes it as "tRNA-Ser". It matches the Rfam family "tRNA". Rfam says of the family: Transfer RNA (tRNA) molecules are approximately 80 nucleotides in length. Their secondary structure includes four short double-helical elements and three loops (D, anti-codon, and T loops). The record is from RNAcentral. RNAcentral also lists the same sequence under 3 other names. Lineage: Bacteria; Pseudomonadati; Pseudomonadota; Gammaproteobacteria; Pseudothioglobaceae (SeqCode).